Molecule: ribosomal RNA, 460 nt
Filed under: uncultured bacterium
Lineage: Bacteria
Description: partial 16S ribosomal RNA
Rfam family: Bacterial small subunit ribosomal RNA
Source: RNAcentral
CCUACGGGAGGCAGCAGUGAGGAAUAUUGGUCAAUGGACGAGAGUCUGAACCAGCCAAGUAGCGUGAAGGAUGACUGCCCUAUGGGUUGUAAACUUCUUUUAUAUGGGAAUAAAACGUUCCACGUGUGGGAUUUUGUAUGUACCAUAUGAAUAAGGAUCGGCUAACUCCGUGCCAGCAGCCGCGGUAAUACGGAGGAUCCGAGCGUUAUCCGGAUUUAUUGGGUUUAAAGGGAGCGUAGGUGGAUUGUUAAGUCAGUUGUGAAAGUUUGCGGCUCAACCGUAAAAUUGCAGUUGAAACUGGCAGUCUUGAGUACAGUAGAGGUGGGCGGAAUUCGUGGUGUAGCGGUGAAAUGCUUAGAUAUCGCGAAGAACUCCGAUUGCGAAGGCAGUUCACUGGACUGCAACUGACACUGAGGCUCGAAAGUGUGGGUAUCAAACAGGAUUAGAUACCCCUGUAGUC